CAAACCGGAGGAAGGUGGGGAGUGACGUCAAGUCCUCAUGGCCCUUAUGGGUAGGGCUUCACACGUCAUAUAAUGGUCGGUACAGAGGGUUGCCAAGCCGCGAGGUGGAGCCAAUCCUUUAAAGCCGAUCGUAGUCCGGAUCGUAGUCUGCAACUCGACUACGUGAAGUCGGAAUCGCUAGUAAUCGCAGAUCAGCAUGCUGCGGUGAAUACGUUCCCGGGUCUU
This 225-nucleotide ribosomal RNA is filed under the name uncultured Thauera sp. Its description in RNAcentral is "partial 16S ribosomal RNA". It matches the Rfam family "Bacterial small subunit ribosomal RNA", at positions 1159 to 1382 of the family's 1533-position model. The record is from RNAcentral. Lineage: Bacteria; Pseudomonadati; Pseudomonadota; Betaproteobacteria; Rhodocyclales; Zoogloeaceae.